Molecule: ribosomal RNA, 586 nt
Filed under: Moesziomyces antarcticus
Lineage: Eukaryota; Fungi; Basidiomycota; Ustilaginomycetes; Ustilaginales; Ustilaginaceae
Description: LSU rRNA
Rfam family: Eukaryotic large subunit ribosomal RNA
Source: RNAcentral
GGGAAGAGCCCAAGAUUGAAAGCUGGCGUCUUCGGCGUCCGCAUUGUAAUCUCAAGAAGUGUUUUCCGCUUCGGACCAAGCCUAAGUCCCCUGGAAAGGGGCAUCAUAGAGGGUGAUAAUCCCGUACAUGGCUUGGAGCGCCCGAGGCUUUGUGAUACGCUUUCUAAGAGUCGAGUUGUUUGGGAAUGCAGCUCAAAAUGGGUGGUAAAUGCCAUCUAAGGCUAAAUAUUGGGGAGAGACCGAUAGCGAACAAGUACAGUGAUGGAAAGAUGAAAAGAACUUUGAAAAGAGAGUUAAACAGUACGUGAAAUUGCCAAAAGGGAAGGGUAGGAGGUCAGAGAUGCGGCCUGGGAUUCAGCCUUGCUUUUGCUUGGUGUUUUUCCCAGAUUGCAGGCCAACGUCGGUUUUGGGCACUGGAGAAGGGUAGGAGGAACGUGGCACCUCUCGGGGUGUGUUAUAGCCUCCUACUGGAUACAGCGACCGAGACCGAGGACAGCAGCGUACUCGCAAGAGCGGGCCUUCGGGCACCUUUACGCUUAGGGCGUUGGCAUAAUGGCCCUCUACCACCCGUCUUGAACCCACAGAC